This 531-nucleotide long non-coding RNA is filed under the name Bos grunniens (domestic yak). RNAcentral's name for it is "lncRNA (ENSBGRG00000014919.1)". The record is from RNAcentral. Lineage: Eukaryota; Metazoa; Chordata; Mammalia; Artiodactyla; Bovidae.
GGGCAGUCACCUAAAAUGUGUCUCGAUGUCAAGACUGACAUUGCCACGUGCAGAGCAAGAGGAUAUGAAAAGCUUUCAUGGUUGAAGUUCCUGAGGAAGGCAGGUCCCAGCAGCAGUGUGACAAGUUAAUUUGGACCCCAUGUAAGCCUAAUUUGGGCUCCUCUGUAAAACAGAAAGCUCUUCUUUGGCUUCACAUAGCUAUCUGUACCUGAGAAUGCUGCAGACCCAGCUCUGCUUUCUGUUCCGAUUCUCAGCUUGUAUGUUGAGGUCCACACCGACACUGCAGAUCAGCUUCCAAACCAAAGGCAGCUCAAUGGACUUCAGAUGAACAGGGGAAAUGCAUUUAUUUUCCCUCCAUCCUCACUCAGGCAUGGAUUGUUGGCUUCUCCUGGCCUCCGAGAAGCUUCUGGGGCUUUCUGGUCUACACAAGGACAAGAGAAAGAGAAGUUUAUCCCUGAAUCAGAAAAUUUUCUGAAACUGCAGACAUACAAUUUUCAAACAUGCAUUGAGAGGCCACUUUCUCAGCUGUGA